AGAGUUUGAUCCUGGCUCAGGAUGAACGCUGGCGGUCUGCUUAACACAUGCAAGUCGAACGGAAUCCUUCGGGAUUUAGUGGCGGACGGGUGAGUAACACGUGAGAAUCUGCACUCAGGAUGGGGACAACAGCGGGAAACUGCUGCUAAUACCCAAUGUGCCGAAAGGUAAAAGAUUUAUCGCCUGAGAAUGAGCUCGCGGCCGAUUAGUUAGUUGGUGGGGUAAUGGCCUACCAAGACGGCGAUCGGUAGCUGGUCUGAGAGGAUGAGCAGCCACACUGGGACUGAGACACGGCCCAGACUCCUACGGGAGGCAGCAGUGGGGAAUUUUCCGCAAUGGGCGCAAGCCUGACGGAGCAAGACCGCGUGGGGGAGGAAGGCUCUUGGGUUGUAAACCCCUUUUCUCAGGGAAGAAGUUCUGACGGUACCUGAGGAAUCAGCCUCGGCUAACUCCGUGCCAGCAGCCGCGGUAAUACGGAGGAGGCAAGCGUUAUCCGGAAUUAUUGGGCGUAAAGCGUCCGUAGGUGGUGGGGCAAGUCGGCGGUUAAAGACUGGGGCUUAACUCCAGAAAGGCCGUGGAAACUGCACCACUAGAGGGCAGUAGGGGCAGAGGGAAUUCCCGGUGUAGCGGUGAAAUGCGUAGAGAUCGGGAAGAACACCAGUGGCGAAAGCGCUCUACUGGACUGCAACUGACACUCAGGGACGAAAGCUAGGGGAGCGAAUGGGAUUAGAUACCCCAGUAGUCCUAGCCGUAAACGAUGGAUACUAGGUGUUGUCUGUAUCGACCCGAGCCGUGCCGAAGC
RNAcentral lists this ribosomal RNA (802 nucleotides) under Planktothricoides raciborskii. RNAcentral describes it as "bacterial SSU rRNA". It matches the Rfam family "Bacterial small subunit ribosomal RNA", at positions 8 to 852 of the family's 1533-position model. The record is from RNAcentral. Lineage: Bacteria; Bacillati; Cyanobacteriota; Cyanophyceae; Oscillatoriales; Oscillatoriaceae.